RNAcentral lists this ribosomal RNA (207 nucleotides) under uncultured bacterium. Its description in RNAcentral is "partial 16S ribosomal RNA". It matches the Rfam family "Bacterial small subunit ribosomal RNA", at positions 568 to 774 of the family's 1533-position model. The record is from RNAcentral.
CGUGUAGGCGGUCAAGUAAGUGGGAUGUGAAACGCCUCGGCUUACCCGAGGACCUGCAUCCCAAACUGCUUGGCUUGAGUAUGGGAGAGGAUGAGGGAAUUCCUGGUGUAGCGGUGAAAUGCGUAGAUAUCAGGAGGAACACCGGUGGCGAAAGCGCUCAUCUGGCCCAAUACUGACGCUGAGGCGCGAAAGCUAGGGGAGCAAACG